UGCAUAUCAAUAAGCGGAGGAAAAGAAACUAACAAGGAUUCCCCUAGUAACGGCGAGUGAAGCGGGAAAAGCUCAAAUUUGUAAUCUGGCGCCUUGGGCGUCCGAGUUGUAAUCUCGAGAAGUAUUUUCCGCGCUGGACCGCACAUAAGUCUGUUGGAAUACAGCGUCAUAGUGGUGAGAACCCCGUAUAGGGUGCGGAUGCCCAGUGCUUUGUGAUAUACUUUCGAAGAGUCGAGUUGUUUGGGAAUGCAGCUCAAAUGGGGUGGUAAAUUCCAUCUAAAGCUAAAUAUUGGCGAGAGACCGAUAGCGAACAAGUACCGUGAGGGAAAGAUGAAAAGCACUUUGGAAAGAGAGUUAACAGUACGUGAAAUUGUUGGAAGGGAAACGCUUGAAGUCAGACUUGCAUUUUGGAGUUCAGCCGCAAGGUGUAUUCUUCAAUUCGCAGGCCAGCAUCAGUUUUUGGGGGUGGAAAAGCGCGGUUUGAAGGUAGCAGUUUCGGCUGUGUUAUAGCUUUCCGCUGGAUUCACUUUUGGGGACUGAGGAACGCAGUACGCUUUUUGCAAGAUUCUAGGGUCUUUCGUACUUAGGAUGCUGGUGGAAUGGCUUUAAACGACCCGUCUUGAAACACGGACCA
This 634-nucleotide ribosomal RNA is filed under the name Microbotryum chloranthae-verrucosum. Its description in RNAcentral is "LSU rRNA". It matches the Rfam family "Eukaryotic large subunit ribosomal RNA", at positions 37 to 668 of the family's 3401-position model. The record is from RNAcentral. Lineage: Eukaryota; Fungi; Basidiomycota; Microbotryomycetes; Microbotryales; Microbotryaceae.